This 326-nucleotide unclassified non-coding RNA is filed under the name Hevea brasiliensis (rubber tree). Lineage: Eukaryota; Viridiplantae; Streptophyta; Magnoliopsida; Malpighiales; Euphorbiaceae. The record is from RNAcentral.
AAAGCUAAACUCUUCUUAAGGAAACGAAGGAUGCAUCUGUGACGAAGUCAACUUCAGAUAAUGGAUCAUUCGAAGUACUGUUGGACUUGGAAAGGCAUUCUUGUGAAGCUGAGCUCUGUGGCAUGCCAGUUAUUUGCUCUAAAAGAACUGCUGUUUGUUAGUUUACUGUCAACAAUUGUCCUCUAUAGUAAACAACCUUCUUCAAUCAAACAAUAUUAUCUUGCACGAUUGAAUCAACCCCUGGGACCAUAAUCAAGAAGCUAAGACAAGGAAAAGAAGUUAGAGUUGUUGGUUAGUUGCUCUAGUUAGUUAGCUGAUCAGUAGUU